GGAGGGGUCGCAUAGUGGUCUAGUGCGCCAUCUUGGAAAGGUGGUAUAGGGGCAACUCUAUCGAGGGUUCGAAUCCCUCUCCCUCCGCCA
RNAcentral lists this transfer RNA (90 nucleotides) under Candidatus Saccharimonadota bacterium. Its description in RNAcentral is "Candidatus Saccharibacteria bacterium tRNA-Ser". It matches the Rfam family "tRNA". From Rfam's summary of the family: Transfer RNA (tRNA) molecules are approximately 80 nucleotides in length. Lineage: Bacteria; Candidatus Saccharimonadota. The record is from RNAcentral. RNAcentral also lists the same sequence under 1 other name.